GUAAAGUCAGCUAAUAAAGCUAUUGGGCCCAUACCCCAAAAAUGUUGGUUACCCCCUUCCUCUACUA
RNAcentral lists this transfer RNA (67 nucleotides) under Anolis pygmaeus (Chiapas pigmy anole). RNAcentral's name for it is "tRNA-Met". The record is from RNAcentral. Lineage: Eukaryota; Metazoa; Chordata; Lepidosauria; Squamata; Anolidae.